This 2589-nucleotide long non-coding RNA is filed under the name Astyanax mexicanus (Mexican tetra). RNAcentral's name for it is "lncRNA (ENSAMXG00005019165.1)". Lineage: Eukaryota; Metazoa; Chordata; Actinopteri; Characiformes; Acestrorhamphidae. The record is from RNAcentral.
GUGAUCCAGCAGGCCGUACACAGGCCUGCAGGUGUGGCUCAGUACCUGCAACAGAUGUAUGCAGCACAGCAGCAUCACAUAAUGCUGCAGACCCUCCAUCAACACCAUCAGCCCACUUGCCCUGCUGCCCACACCUCAGUGGGGUCUACUCAUCAGUCAAACAGCCAGCAGACCACCUCCUCUCCUUCAUCAGCCAAUGGGAGCAGUGCAGUAAGUGUCUUAGCAAUUUACACAGUGUCACUGAUUUGAAGAUGUAAAGUCUGUAGGGUGCUAGGGAAGUAAACACUGAUGUAAACACAGGAUUUGUUACUCUGCUCUAGGUCCCACUGCCCAGCUCUUCGCUCUCUCAACUCCAGUCCCCCACUGUCUCCGCCUCUACAGGGACGAUAUCCCAGCAGGCCGUUUUGCUGGGGAAUGGCUCGGCUCCUGGCAGUCAGGCUCAGAUGUACCUGCGCACUCAGAUGCUGAUUCUGGCUCCUGCUGCCACAGUAGCUGCUGAUCUGCCUGCUCUAUGCUCUGCCUCCUCUCAGCCCCUCUCCACACAGGUGACAACACUUCAACUAAACCAUUUUAAAGUAGUUUAUUUGAUAAUCUGUAUUGCUGUGCAUAAUGUAGUGCUGUCACUUGUGCUGACCCACACUGCAGGUUCCGAGCUUGGCUCUGCGAACACAUCUUCCAGGAGCCCUCAGUGCUGCACAUGGCAUCCAGCUGAAGAGCACUCAGGGUCAGACUCUGGUCACCCCACUCCCAAGAAUGUCUAUAUGUCCCCUGAAAUCCACACAGCUCUCCCAGGCCCUGACUGAGACAUCCAGAAGUGAGUAGAUGAUACAUUUCUCUCAGUAGAUGUGGCAGCAAGCUCUCUUAUUCAAUCUCUUUCUUUAGCAGGGGCCUCUCCAGCUCUGGUGCGGCACCAGAUGAACUGCCCACCCAGCCCGAAGGGGGCAACUCCUCAGUUCAUCCUGCAGAGUGGCGUGGCUCAGAGGCAGGGGCAGCCGUUUGCUCUGCGGGUCACCUCACAGGACAGCAGUCACCCUCCACUAUCCCUGCUGUCCCAGACCACGCCAACCUCCACCGCUGUCCUAUCACAUCACUGCGAGGUUGUCUCAAGCCACACCCCUUGUGACCACCUGGCCAAUCAGAAGACAGAACAGCAGCAGUCUGUAGUGGCAUCUACUUCAAUGCUUCCGGCUCUACCGGACCCUCCUCCUCUUCAUCUUGCUCCAGUAGUGGACCCCCUGUGCCAUCCUCAGCCCCUGAGCUUCCCCCCACCUCCACCGCCCCUGACCUUGGCACCACCCCGGCUGUCUGCAGCCGCUCCUCCUCCACCCUCCGUACAGAGGCUGUCCCUACGCUCCGUCCAUGCACUGGCCGUGCAGUCUGACCACAUGCUGCUGUCAGAGGAUGAGCUGCCUGUGGCUGAGACUCUAGCUCAGCUGCCCUACCAGAACCUCCCACCUCCACAGACGGCAGCCGUGGACCUAAAGGUGCAGCCCAAUGCACACAUGGAUGCAGCCUUAGUGAGUCUGAGGCUUUUUAUUAAUGGAUAAUUUAAACAUGCUGUUAAUAUGUUUUCAUUUACACAGUGUUACAGCAUCGUAGUAUUCACCUAUCAGUACCCUAGCAACACCAUAUAAGCUAUCUACUGGAUGUUAUUGGGACUGUAUGUUACGUUGUCUAUGCCAAAAGGUCACUUUAAUGUUUAACAGGCCCAGUCACUGCAGGAGGAUCGUUUGGAUGUCCUGAGACAUGAGGUACAAAAAUGUCCCAACAGGAGCAGGACCCCCAGCCCCCCAGCACUGACCCCAACAGUAGAGAAGCACAACUCCUGCAGAGAUGUAACCCAGCACAACGCACAAACAGGUGCCUCCUUCCUCUUUCAAAUGUGCAGCUCUAAUUAAACCAGUUCAGGGUUUUAAUGUGAACAUAAACAAGAGUGGAAAUAUUGGUACAGUGAAGCUGGACGUUUUCCUGCAGGAGAGUCGUUACAAUGCUGAGGAGAUCAACAGAAGGUUCAUGUGUAAACAGAAGCUGAUACGUUAGCAAGAAGCACAGUUCUAAAAAACAAAUGUCAGAGUAAAUACCUGCAGAGUUUUAGUUUUGCAGCUGAUUGGUUUGUUUUAGUGUUGAAUAUCGUAGGAACCACCUAGGAGAGCCGCUACAAUUGUUUCGAGACAGGUGAGAGGCUAAUGUGUAAACAGAAAUUCAUAUAUUAGUGGAAAACAUAGUGAAGUUCUAGAUCACAGUUGGUAAAAAGGACAGAAUUAUGAACCUGUGUUUUUAAAGUGUUUGGCAGCCACCUGGAACACUAGUCUAUUGGGAAUUGCUUGUGCUGUGCAAUCACUAAAUCUGUCUAGUAAUGUUGUUUCAUUUACAUUAGGGCUGCAACUAAUAAUUAUUCAGUAGUUGACUACUAGUUAGUUGACUAAUCAGUUUGUAAUAUAGUCAAUGAUUAUUUCUGCCUUGCCCUCUAUAUCUCUGCUUUCUGUGGAUGUGGCUAUUAUUUCAGUGCAUGUUAUACCUUACUUGCUGAAGUUUGUACACCUUUACAUAACAAGUUCCCAUGGCAAAUAAAAAUAAUGACUCACACCA